RNAcentral lists this ribosomal RNA (218 nucleotides) under uncultured prokaryote. RNAcentral's name for it is "partial 16S ribosomal RNA". It matches the Rfam family "Bacterial small subunit ribosomal RNA", at positions 26 to 243 of the family's 1533-position model. The record is from RNAcentral.
AGAUUGAACGCUAGCGGCAUGCCUAACACAUGCAAGUCGAACGGUAACAGGCCCUUCGGGGUGCUGACGAGUGGCGGACGGGUGAGUAAUGCGUAGGAAUCUACCCACGGGUGGGGAAAUAACCAACCGAAAGGUCGGCUAAUACCGCAUAAGUCCGUAACGGGGGAAAGCGGGGGAUACGAAAGACCUCGCGCCGGUGAUGAGCCGAAGCCGGAUUA